This 444-nucleotide ribosomal RNA is filed under the name uncultured bacterium. Its description in RNAcentral is "bacterial SSU rRNA". It matches the Rfam family "Bacterial small subunit ribosomal RNA", at positions 338 to 795 of the family's 1533-position model. The record is from RNAcentral.
CCUACGGGGGGCUGCAGUGGGGAAUAUUGGGCAAUGGGCGAAAGCCUGACCCAGCAAUGCCGCGUGUGUGAAGAAGGUCUUCGGAUUGUAAAGCACUAUAUUGGGGAAGAACACAAUGACGGUACCCAAGAGAAAAAGCCCCGGCUAACUAUGUGCCAGCAGCCGCGGUAAUACAUAGGGGGCUAGCUUUGUCCGGAAUUACUGGGCGUAAAGGGUGCGUAGGUGGUAGUGUAUGUUGGAAGUGUAAUCCCUCGGGCUUAACUCAGGGGCUGCUUCCAAAACUACAUUGCUUGAGUAUCGGAGAGGAAAACGGAAUUCCUAGUGUAGCGGUGAAAUGCGUAGAUAUUAGGAGGAACACCAGAGGCGAAGGCGGUUUUCUGGACGAUAACUGACACUGAGGCACGAAAGCGUGGGGAGCGAUCGGGAUUAGAUACCCCAGUAGUC